AAUGAACGCUGGCGGCAGGCCUAACACAUGCAAGUCGAGCGGAAAGACGGAGAUUGCUCGCGUCUUCAGCUGGGGACGGGCGGGUGAUGCACAGGUGUAUACCUGGCCGUUGUGGCUGGGGUGACUAAGCGGGAGCUAAUACAACAUCGGUGCAUAGGGAGAACGGGGGGGAUCAUUAGAGCUCACGGGUUUAGCUGACACUAGGUCGCGUUAGCGAGUUGGUUGGGUAAAGGGCUAACAAGGCGACGAUCCGUAACUGGUCUGAGAGGCUGAUCAGCCACACUGGAACUGAGACACGGUCCAGACUCCUACGGGAGGCAGCAGUAGGGAAUAUUGGGCAAUGGGCGAAAGCCUGACCCAGCCAUGCCGCGUGUGUGAAGAAGGUCUUCGGAUUGUAAAGCCCUUUUAUUGGGGAAGAACAGCUGUAGGUGAAGACCUUGCUGUUUUGACGGUACCUAAAGAAUAAGCACCGGCUAACUACGUG
Molecule: ribosomal RNA, 484 nt
Filed under: uncultured bacterium
Lineage: Bacteria
Description: partial 16S ribosomal RNA
Rfam family: Bacterial small subunit ribosomal RNA
Source: RNAcentral